GUCUUUUUGAGUUAUUUUUAAAGUCUGACCUGCCCACUGAAAUUUUUAAAUGGCCGCAGUAUUCUAACUGUGCAAAGGUAGCAUAAUCAUUAGUCUUUUAAUUGAAGGCUGGUAUGAACGGUUGGACGAGGUAUAAGCUGUUUCAUAUAAAUUUAUAGUAGAAUUUUAUAUUUUAGUCAAAAAGCUAAAAUAUUAUUAAAAGACGAGAAGACCCUAUAAAUCUUUAUAUUUUUUUUUAUUUAAAUUUUUUGGGUUUAUUUUAUUUUUAUAAUAGAAAAUAUUUUGUUGGGGUGAUGUUAAAAUUUAAUGAACUUUUAAUUAUAAAAAAUCAUUAAUUUAUGAGUUACUGAUCCAUUAGUAGUGAUUAUAAGAUUAAGUUACUUUAGGGAUAACAGCGUAAUUUUUUUGGAGAGUUCAUAUCGAUAAAAAAGUUUGCGACCUCGAUGUUGGAUUAAGAUAUAAUUUUAGGUGUAGCCGCUUAAAUGUUAAGUCUGUUCGACUUUUAAAUUCUU
RNAcentral lists this ribosomal RNA (512 nucleotides) under Zeugodacus synnephes. RNAcentral's name for it is "partial 16S ribosomal RNA". It matches the Rfam family "Bacterial large subunit ribosomal RNA", at positions 1829 to 2597 of the family's 2925-position model. Lineage: Eukaryota; Metazoa; Arthropoda; Insecta; Diptera; Tephritidae. The record is from RNAcentral.